UUGUGUGAAAGGGUCAGAAUAUUGUGCAUCUGAUAAUGAACUCGAUUUUUACGGAUUACUGCAGGAGAUUUUUGAACUCCAAUAUGCUGGUCAUUUUGGACUCAAAGUGAUGAUGUUCAGGUGUGAUUGGUUUGAUCCGACACCAAAUCGAGGGAUCAGAGUCAACAAAACAGGUGUUUUUGACAUAUGUCACACGUCGAUAUGGAAAAUAUGAUCCUUUUAUAUUUCCUUCUCAAGCAGAUCAAGUGUGUUACAUCCCUUAAUCCGAAGAAAAUUACAAGAAGGUCAGACAUUGAUUGGCGAGCUGUCGUGAAAAUCAACCCCAAGGGAACUAUUAUUCAGGCAGAAAAUGCUGAACAAGUACCGCUUCAAGAUGUUGAUCACGACAUUAUUUAAUUUGAAGAAACGAUUGAGGUUGGAAGGUUAAUAGCCGAAGAAGGAAUACCUGAAGAACUUGAAGACAAUAAUGAUGAAGAGAAGGACAAUACCGAUGACUCGGAUGAAAAAACAACAGGAAGUUCUGAAUAUGGUUCAUUUGAUUAAUAAUCUGUCGGUGAUUAGUCGUAACUAGACGGCAUCGUCACUUGCCACGUGUCACGACCGCAAACCAUGCAGUGUUUUCGAUAUUUUCAACAUUGCGACAGAUUUACGUAAAUUCUGUCGUCAAAUCCACGCAUAUCCCGCUUUUUGGCGUAACGACGGUUGGCGACCGAAUUCAUCUAUCGCAAUGCUCUUAAAAUCCCGCCUUUUUUUCGUACCGACGGAUUGCGACAGAUUUAAUCGGUCGCAAUGCUCUUAACAUUAUCGCGAAUCGUCUUCUUCCCCUCUCUCCAAAAACUUAGACAAAUUUUCGUUUCGUCGCCUCCUCCGCCGCAACCUUCGUCCGCCGUGACUGAACUCCGUUCCCAGGUAUGUUUCUUCGUAUUUUCGCUAGUUUCAUUCGCUUUUCGAAAAUCAGACGGUUGAUAAUCCGAAAAUCGAACGCGCGAGAUACAGUUUCCGAUCUCUCGCGCCGCCACUGCACCGGCACUGCUCCGAUCUCUUGCGCCGCCACGGCACCGCGACCGAACUAAUCCGAGAUGAGUCAAUCCCAUUCUAGUUGUCGUGCCGGUAGCGGAGUCCGAUCCCGAUUACGUGGGAUCAGAUAAUCUAGAUCACCAUCUAUCCAUCAGGAUCAGGUUGUAGUCGAGCCUCCUCGACUAGAUGUACCUUUCACGGGUGCGGCUUCGCCACAAUUCAUGAAUGAAGGUACAUCUAGUCACGGUGCAUCGCCAACGUUGCCGGAGAUUCUAGCAUCUGCAGAACGUCGUCUCCGACCUCGUCUCGAUCCGAAUCACUCCCCCGGUUUUAUUUGGUUUGAUCGUAACAAUGAAGUGAUUACGAUCGUCGUCAGCAUCUUUCAGUCGAACUUCAAAGGACCGUGGCGGAGUCUCAUCCGUGUCCCUCCAUCUGAUCUGCAUCGUUGGUUCGGGGCUUUUGCGCAAGCUUAUUAUUGGGAUGAGGCCAUUCAUGACCAAGUCUACGCCGCUUGGAGGCUCGUCGUCCGAGAUCGCCUCAAGGACAACAUUUAUCGGGUAAAGUGCAGAUGCGUAAGACCUCCGUGGAUGUCGACGGCUAUCUACGAUCAGCUCGUCGCACAUUGGGAUUCAGAAGAAGGAACGGAGAAGAGUCAAAUCUUCUCAAACAAUCGACGAUCCCGACCGGAGAUCGAAUGCGCACCCCGACCCACACUGCAGGACAGAGAUCAUUCGCUCGAGUCGCCUAUGAGAUAACGCAGAAGGAAGGUGAAGAACCUUCUGCGUUGCGAUUGCUGCAGGAGACUCACCAUCGAGCUGACGGUACUUAUAUCAACGAUCGCGUUCAGAAAAUCGAGGACGCGAUUCAGGCAAAGAUCACCAAUCGUCUCUCCCAGUUAGAGGAGAGUUAUGGAUCGACCCAACUUAAUUUCGCCAGCAGAAAUCAACAGUCUCUAUCUAGAGGUUGUACAACCGGAUGCCAAAGGAUGUAUCUACGGCGUCGGUGGAAUGGCGACUCAGUUGGGUGGUGGUCAUCCAGAUGCAGCAUCGAUCGGUCGCCAUGUCGCACUGACUAAAGAGGUCGAGGCGUUGAAGAAAAAUAUCAAAGAGUUCGAGGAGGAUCGUAGAAAAAUUGCGAGACUAGAAGAAGGUGAGGCACGGAUUGCGCGUUACGAGACGCUUUUCGCCCAGCUUUUUUCUCCUCAUGAUGAUCCACCAACGGCGCAGGAGAUGCAACAUAACCCAUUUCUGACUCCUCAAUCCGGAGUUAGAUCUGAGCCCGGAGUCGGACCUUCUACGGCACCGACGGACCAAAGAACCGGAUCAGAUCAUCCGGAUAACU
Molecule: RNA transcript, 2358 nt
Organism: Tarenaya hassleriana
Lineage: Eukaryota; Viridiplantae; Streptophyta; Magnoliopsida; Brassicales; Cleomaceae
Exons: 6
Source: RefSeq, a predicted model, not a curated record